This 531-nucleotide ribosomal RNA is filed under the name uncultured bacterium. RNAcentral's name for it is "bacterial SSU rRNA". It matches the Rfam family "Bacterial small subunit ribosomal RNA", at positions 355 to 896 of the family's 1533-position model. The record is from RNAcentral.
UGGGGAAUAUUGCACAAUGGGCGGAAGCCUGAUGCAGCAACGCCGCGUGCGGGAUGACGGCCUUCGGGUUGUAAACCGCUUUCGCCUGUGACGAAGCGUGAGUGACGGUAAUGGGUAAAGAAGCACCGGCUAACUACGUGCCAGCAGCCGCGGUGAUACGUAGGGUGCGAGCGUUGUCCGGAUUUAUUGGGCGUAAAGGGCUCGUAGGUGGUUGAUCGCGUCGGAAGUGUAAUCUUGGGGCUUAACCCUGAGCGUGCUUUCAAUACGGGUUGACUUGAGGAAGGUAGGGGAGAAUGGAAUUCCUGGUGGAGCGGUGGAAUGCGCAGAUAUCAGGAGGAACACCAGUGGCGAAGGCGGUUCUCUGGGCCUUUCCUGACGCUGAGGAGCGAAAGCGUGGGGAGCGAACAGGCUUAGAUACCCUGGUAGUCCACGCUGUAAACGGUGGGUACUAGGUGUGGGGUCCAUUCCACGGGUUCCGCGCCGUAGCUAACGCUUUAAGUACCCCGCCUGGGGAGUACGGCCGCAAGGCUA